This 439-nucleotide ribosomal RNA is filed under the name uncultured bacterium. RNAcentral describes it as "bacterial SSU rRNA". It matches the Rfam family "Bacterial small subunit ribosomal RNA", at positions 340 to 773 of the family's 1533-position model. The record is from RNAcentral.
UACGGAAGGCAGCAGUGGGGAAUAUUGCACAAUGGGCGCAAGCCUGAUGCAGCCAUGCCGCGUGUAUGAAGAAGGCCUUCGGGUUGUAAAGUACUUUCAGUCGUGAGGAAGGUGUUAAGGUUAAUAACCUUAGCAAUUGACGUUAGCGACAGAAGAAGCACCGGCUAACUCCGUGCCAGCAGCCGCGGUAAUACGGAGGGUGCGAGCGUUAAUCGGAAUUACUGGGCGUAAAGGGCACGCAGGCGGUUAAUUAAGUUGGAUGUGAAAUCCCCGGGCUUAACCUGGGAAUGGCAUUCAAGACUGGUUAGCUAGAGUCUUGUAGAGGGGGUAGAAUUCCAUGUGUAGCGGUGAAAUGCGUAGAGAUGUGGAGGAAUACCGGUGGCGAAGGCGGCCCCUGGACAAAGACUGACGCUCAUGUGCGAAAGCGCGGGGAGCAAAC